Molecule: transfer RNA, 74 nt
Filed under: Candidatus Gottesmanbacteria bacterium
Lineage: Bacteria; Candidatus Gottesmaniibacteriota
Description: tRNA-Trp
Rfam family: tRNA
About the family: Transfer RNA (tRNA) molecules are approximately 80 nucleotides in length. Their secondary structure includes four short double-helical elements and three loops (D, anti-codon, and T loops). Further hydrogen bonds mediate the characteristic L-shaped molecular structure. tRNAs have two regions of fundamental functional importance: the anti-codon, which is responsible for specific mRNA codon recognition, and the 3' end, to which the tRNAs corresponding amino acid is attached (by aminoacyl-tRNA synthetases). tRNAs cope with the degeneracy of the genetic code in two manners: having more than one tRNA (with a specific anti-codon) for a particular amino acid; and 'wobble' base-pairing, i.e. permitting non-standard base-pairing at the 3rd anti-codon position.
Source: RNAcentral
AGGCCCAUAGGUUAAUGGUAGACCAGAGGACUCCAAAUCCUCUAGUGGGGGUUCGAUUCCCUCUGGGCCUGCCA